This 940-nucleotide ribosomal RNA is filed under the name uncultured bacterium. RNAcentral's name for it is "bacterial SSU rRNA". It matches the Rfam family "Bacterial small subunit ribosomal RNA", at positions 1 to 937 of the family's 1533-position model. The record is from RNAcentral.
UAGAGUUUGAUCCUGGCUCAGGAUGAACGCUAGCUACAGGCUUAACACAUGCAAGUCGAGGGGCAGCAUUAUCGGAGCUUGCUUUGAUAGAUGGCGACCGGCGCACGGGUGAGUAACGCGUAUCCAACCUUCCCCUUAGUAGAGGAUAGCCCGGCGAAAGUCGGAUUAAUACUCUAUGUUGUAUUUUGAGGACAUCUGACGAAUACCAAAGAUUUAUCGCUAAGGGAUGGGGAUGCGUCUGAUUAGCUUGUCGGCGGGGUAACGGCCCACCGAGGCGACGAUCAGUAGGGGUUCUGAGAGGAAGGUCCCCCACAUUGGUACUGAGACACGGACCAAACUCCUACGGGAGGCAGCAGUGAGGAAUAUUGGUCAAUGGGCGUAGGCCUGAACCAGCCAAGUAGCGUGCAGGAUGACUGCCCUAUGGGUUGUAAACUGCUUUUAUGCGGGAAUAAAGUCAGGUACGGGUACCUGUUUGCAUGUACCGCAUGAAUAAGGACCGGCUAAUUCCGUGCCAGCAGCCGCGGUAAUACGGAAGGUCCGGGCGUUAUCCGGAUUUAUUGGGUUUAAAGGGAGCGCAGGCGGAGGAUUAAGCGUGACGUGAAAUGUCCCGGCUCAACCGUGGAACUGCGUCGCGAACUGGUUUUCUUGAGUGAGUGCGACGUCGGCGGAAUUCGUGGUGUAGCGGUGAAAUGCUUAGAUAUCACGAAGAACCCCGAUUGCGAAGGCAGCCGACGAGUCCUUAACUGACGCUAAAGCUCGAAAGUGCGGGUAUCGAACAGGAUUAGAUACCCUGGUAGUCCGCACGGUAAACGAUGGAUGCCCGCUGUCUGCAAUACACUGUAGGGCGCCCAGAAAAAAUCGUAAGCCUCCGCACCUGGGGAGUACCGCCGCAACCGUGAAACUCCAAGGAAUUGACGGGGGGCCCCCCCAAGCGGAAGAA